AUUUUGAAACUGACACAAAGCACAAACAAUCUAUGCUUGAGAGUCAUCCUUCUAAGUAAUGUCUCUUUGCAGGUGUGAGUGGGAGGCCGCCAAUAGACCAAGCACAAUUGGAGAGAGAGUUAGAAUUAGACCUUGAAAAUGUUCGCAUUGAAGACAACAUUGAUCCCAAUGAUGUGAACCUGGAUGAAGAAGAAUUGUUGGCAGACUAAUUGAGAUUUGCUGAUGCAGUGCUUCAUCCAUUUUCUUUUGUUAUCUUUAUUUUAAGUAUUUUUAUGUAAAUAGGAAAAAACAUAUAUUGCAGUUGUUUGUUUUCAUAAAAUUUUUAGGUGUUCUAGGUUUUAAAUGGAAUAUCAGCUAAUUCAGAUGGCACUGAAAGAAUUGGGUUUAUUUUUGUGAAAUGAAAAAAUACAUGUUCAGGGCUUUUUUUACUAUCAAAUUGGUAUGACUGGAAGGAAUAUGAUAAAUAAUGUUUAUGCUCAGAAUGCAAUAGUAAUUUUGGAGAAAUGUACCAGUGAACAAACCUGUUGCACCAUUUAUUUUGCUUAUUUAUGAAACGUGUAUUGAAAUUAGGAUCAUUCCAUAUUUAACUUUUAUACAAAGUUGGAGGUGAAUAAAAGUUAACUUCAUCAAAGUGUAUUUAAUUGAACCAGAUAUUUAUAUUGUAGAUUAGAGAACACAAUAUUUGAUUAAUAUUUUUUGUGAUGAACUUGAAAUAAGUGAAAUAAAACGGUUAAAAGUU
Penaeus vannamei (Pacific white shrimp) is the source of this 739-nucleotide non-coding RNA. Lineage: Eukaryota; Metazoa; Arthropoda; Malacostraca; Decapoda; Penaeidae. The record is from RefSeq and is a predicted model, not a curated record.